RNAcentral lists this long non-coding RNA (683 nucleotides) under Phoenix dactylifera (date palm). Its description in RNAcentral is "long non-coding RNA (PDAC_LNC000798)". The record is from RNAcentral. Lineage: Eukaryota; Viridiplantae; Streptophyta; Magnoliopsida; Arecales; Arecaceae.
UUUAAACAGCCCCCCCACCACCUCCAUUACGCCAUUUAUCGAACCUCACGCAGGAAAAGGUAGUGAGGACUAAGGAGGCCUCCUCAACCUCAGCCUUCACCUCGCUCUCUCCCUCCAUUCCCUCCAGCGUUUGGCCACCAUGAGCCGAUUUCUGUCAGCCGCAAACCGAAGCCUGCUUGGGCGGAGGAGGAGCGCCCGCGUCGCGGAUGAGAGCUCUCUCGAGGGAGCCGAGCAUGGCCACGACGAGGACCACCGCCGUGGGGGUUGGCUUGGCAUUUCAACAGUUCUAGCAAUGGCGCGGAUGCCUCUCGAGCUUGUGUUGUGCAUCAUGGGUCAGACCGAGGAUGGGGGCGAGCUUAUCAUCACAGCCUCUGACAUGGAUGAACUCAUGGUACGUGAUGGCAUGCGCUACGCGAUUUAUGUCUAGGAUCUUGCCCUAACAUGAUCCAUGUCUUCGUGAAAAUUAUUGAAAGCAAGAUCACAAUACCAGGUUGUACGUUCUUCAGAUAUAUAUUAUCUUUGGUGGAUGGAAGUACAUUUCUGAAUUAAUGUUGUGAGGCUUGGUUUGGCUUCCUUGGAGUUUUUUGCUCUCCCUUUUCUCAAGGAAGAAUAAGUCAUGAAGUUCUUCUCAGUUUUCAGAGUGUUUCUUUAAAUCUAUGAGUUUUUCUCCUCGUAGAAGAUGG